UACGUAGGGUGCGAGCGUUAAUCGGAAUUACUGGGCGUAAAGCGUGCGCAGGCGGUUUUGUAAGCCAGAUGUGAAAUCCCCGGGCUUAACCUGGGAAUGGCAUUUGGGACUGCAAGGCUGGAGUGCGGCAGAGGAGACUGGAAUUCCUGGUGUAGCAGUGAAAUGCGUAGAUAUCAGGAGGAACACCGAUGGCGAAGGCAGGUCUCUGGGCAGAAACUGACGCUGAGGAGCGAAAGCGUGGGGAGCGAACAGG
This 253-nucleotide ribosomal RNA is filed under the name uncultured bacterium. Its description in RNAcentral is "partial 16S ribosomal RNA". It matches the Rfam family "Bacterial small subunit ribosomal RNA", at positions 524 to 776 of the family's 1533-position model. The record is from RNAcentral.